AGAAAGUGUACCUAGGGUUCCACACCCGGAAAGGGUGGUUCGGUCCGAGCGGUACAGGCCCGGAGGAGUUCUUUUCCGGGUUACACCGGCAGGGAGAAAAGCCCAGGCGGU
This 111-nucleotide small RNA is filed under the name Desulfofundulus australicus. RNAcentral describes it as "Desulfotomaculum australicum Guanidine-I sequence". It matches the Rfam family "Guanidine-I riboswitch aptamer". From Rfam's summary of the family: This family represents a conserved RNA structure found upstream of the ykkC and yxkD genes in Bacillus subtilis and related genes in other bacteria. Lineage: Bacteria; Bacillati; Bacillota; Clostridia; Eubacteriales; Peptococcaceae. The record is from RNAcentral.